CAGCCUGCAGCUCUUGGAGCUUGGCAUUGGCAUCCUUGAGGGCCAUCUCUCCAUGCUGCUCGGCCUCGGCAAUGGCCGUCUGCAGUGCCUCCAUCUUGUCUCCAUUUGUGGAGAUACUGCCCUGUGGGUCAGCCAGCCUGAGAUGACCUCCAGACGUCUAUUCCAGGGGAGGAGUCCUGAGAUCCUAGCCCCUGCCCCUCAGCAAUCAUCCCAGGUGCCAGCAUCCAUGACCAUCCCACCUGCUUCUUGACACCCUCGAUCUCUGCCCGCAGCCUCUGGAUCAUUCUGUUGAGCUCUAUGAUCUCGCUCUUGGUAUUUCUUAGGUCAUCCCCAUGCCUGCCAGCCGUGGUCUGCAGCUCCCCCAACUGCAGAACAGAAGGGAAGAUGGGGUAUUCCUGCAGCUUUGCUUGACUUGUUUCUACACCUCCAACAUCACCCACCAAACCUUCAGAAGCUCAGUAAGGCAUUUGCUAAAAUGAUACUGCAUUGUGUUUCAGCAGGGAAACCCCCAAGGCAGCAGGAAAGAGAACAUCUGGGUUGUUGUGGUAGAAGAUUUUCCUACCCUGUAGUUCCUGAGCAAGUUGGAGUCAGUCCCACAUAGCAGGCAACCAUCUCCCCCAGGGGCAAGACUUUCUGCAACUGAACCACCAUUAGAAGGAUGACUUCAGAGGGUAAAACCAAAAGGCAUUCACCCAGUGACCACUGGGAACUCACUACCCAGCUGUCCAAUAGGCCAUGGCCUCUCUGAAACCUCCAGUGGAUCCCGUAAGAGGUGACUAGCACCCACCUUGGUCUGGUACAGGGCCUCAGCUUCGGCCUUGCUUCUCUGAGCGAUAUCCUCAUACUGUGCACGAACUUCAGCAAUGAUGCUGUCCAGGUCCAGGGAGCGAUUAUUGUCCAUGGACAGCACCACAGAUGUGUCACUGAUGUGGCUCUGCAUCUGAGAUAGCUCCUGUCAACACAGAGGGAGCUUGUUCACUUUUGGGGUCCCUGUAACAAGCACACAGGGCCCUGAAAGACUCUUGAUCAACAGUCUCAUUCACUGAUUCCUUGCUCCACAUGUGUAUCAGCCACACCCUGUCCGCAGCCACUCAGAGAACCCCAUGUCUGCAGCUUAUCCUGUGGAAUCCCUUCCAAGGGUCCUCAUCUCCAGGCUCAUUCCAGAUGUCUUCUGGGGCCUAUAUACCAAAAUGCACCAGCCUCAAAUCUGGAAACACCUCACUCUCCCUCUGUCCCUUCUUAGUAGGUAACAUCCUUACAGCGUCGUAGAGGGUCCUUAAGAAGUCGAUCUCAUCUAUCAAGGCAUCCACUUUGGCCUGAAGCUCCACCUUGUUCAUAUAGGCACUGUCCACAUCCUGAGAAAAGAGGAAGAUAAAGGCCUUAUUCUCCCAAUGAACAAACAGCAAACCACAACUGCAGCAAGAAAGAGCAGAGGGGACUGGUGCAGUGAUGGUCCUUGUCUAAGACCAGUCUCCACUUGAACGGGCAAUUUGUAUCUCAUUAGGAUGGUCUAAGUUUAAUCCUACUAAAAAACUAAAGACUGAUGAACUAACUCUUUUAGGGAUCUUCCAGACUAAGGUGCACCUGACUUCUGUUUAUUGCUCCAAAGGCCUGAACUUGGCAGCUCUGUGGCAGUGGAGUGAGGAGAUUCCCCCAACCCAGCCAGAAACCUGCAGCUGCAAGCCUCAGAAACCUCACACACAGCCCUUACCUUCUUCAGAGUCACAAAUUCAUUCUCAGCAGCUGUACGUUUAUUGAUUUCAUCCUCAUAUCUGUGUGAAUAAAAAAGAAACAGCUGAGUUUGGUUUUGAGGUCAUCGUAAACACCAUUGUUCCCUGGAACUCUGAAAGUUCAUCUCUUCCCUCCCUCCAUCCCUAUCCUGCCCCUCUCAGAUGAGCACAUCCUCUUUACUAUCUCCCUGUUAGUUGGGGGACCAACCAAGUCAAUUUGCCCAGGCAAACUGUCUGGUUUUAGCACUAAAAUUUCUGCAUCCCAGGAAACCCCUCAGUCCCAGGCAAACCUCUGGAUGGUUGAUCACCAUACCAUGAGUUGUCCCAGAAUCUUUCACAUGCCAGAACCAGGAUCUUCCCCAACCUGGCUCAUGAGGAAAUGCUUCCCCAACUCUAAACUCAUCCGUUUUUUGUUUUUGUUUUUUUUUUAGACAUAGUCUCGCUCUGUCACCGAGGCUGGAGUGCAGUGGUACAAUCUUGACUCACUGCAACCUCCAUUUCCAGGGUUCAAGAAAUUCUGUUUCCUCAGCCACCCGACUAUCUUGGAUUACAGGUUGUAGAGGCUGCGACUGCCAAAGCCACCUGCUCCGCUCCGGAAGCCAUAGGCCCCUCCGCCAGCUCCCCCAGAGUGGGCCACACAGCUCAUCCUGCUGCUGCCGGAGACCACAGCAGAGCGGCCGGAGAAACCCUGGCUCCCGCCACCAGAUGUCUUGCUGGCUUGUCUGCUCAUGAGUCUGACACAAUGUAGGUGCUCAACAAUGCUUCUCGAACUGAAGCAACUGCCCCUGCCGUGCUCUUGGGUGGUGGAUUCACAGGAGAAGGAGCUACCAGCCCGAUGGGAGAAAUGCUGCAGCUUCACAGGACACGACACAGAAAAAGGAGUGUGACCAAAAUCCAGUAUGAGGAGGCCUAAGGGAGACAGAACAGCAGGAUAUUCCAAAGGGGUGGAGCCACUCCUAGAAGACUUCUAGACGAAAGGACUCCUCUUAGGUAUCAGAAUCUUGCCCUCUGUAAGAAGAGCACCUGCCCUGUCUCUAGCAUCUAGGGCCUGCUUCUUCCUCAAGACCCCACUUCAAUACCGCCUCCUGCAUGAAGCCUCCUGUGAUUGCCAACCCCUCACUCUAGACUAGAAGUAAUUUUGCUACCCUCUGGACUGUCAUGUCCUUCAUUUGUAACUUCCAAAGGCAUUCAUCUGUCUGUCUGGUUACCAAGUUCUUUAUGUGCAUGCUUUUAUCUAGACAUUAUCAUCUGUAUUAAAAGCUCCUUGAAAACAGAGUCUAAUUCUUCUUUGUAUAAUGGGUCCCCAUUGCCCA
This 3043-nucleotide long non-coding RNA is filed under the name Homo sapiens (human). Its description in RNAcentral is "HSALNT0189237". Lineage: Eukaryota; Metazoa; Chordata; Mammalia; Primates; Hominidae. The record is from RNAcentral.